This is a long non-coding RNA of Gadus morhua (Atlantic cod), 208 nucleotides long. RefSeq lists it as uncharacterized. The record is from RefSeq and is a predicted model, not a curated record. The transcript is spliced from 3 exons. NCBI's taxonomy places the organism in Eukaryota, Metazoa, Chordata, Actinopteri, Gadiformes, Gadidae.
GCAGAGUAGUUCCUGAUCAGGACGGUACAGACCCACAGGGAGGGGGUACUGGUCAGGUGUGAGUGGGAUGUUUGACGGGGUACUGGUCAGGUGUGCUCUGGUUGACGGGGUACUGGUCAGGUGUGCUCUGGUUGAAGGGGUACUGGUCAGUCGUGAGUGGGAUGGUUGACGGGGUACUGGUCAGGUGUGAGUGGGAUGGUUGACGGGG